Molecule: ribosomal RNA, 439 nt
Filed under: uncultured bacterium
Lineage: Bacteria
Description: partial 16S ribosomal RNA
Rfam family: Bacterial small subunit ribosomal RNA
Source: RNAcentral
CUACGGGGUGCUCCAGUGAGGAAUAUUGCACAAUGGGGGGAACCCUGAUGCAGCAACGCCGCGUGGAGGAUGACGCAUUUCGGUGUGUAAACUCCUUUUAUAUGUCAAGAAAAUGACGGUAGCAUAUGAAUAAGCACCGGCUAACUCCGCGCCAGCAGCCGCGGUAAUACGGAGGGUGCAAGCGUUACUCGGAAUCACUGGGCGUAAAGGACGCGUAGGCGGGUUGGAAAGUCAGGUGUGAAAUCCUACAGCUAAACUGUAGAACUGCACUUGAAACUUCUAAUCUAGAGUAUGGGAGGGGGAGGUGGAAUUAGUGGUGUAGGGGUAAAAUCCGUAGAUAUCACUAGGAAUACCUAAAGCGAAGGCGAUCUCCUGGAACAUUACUGACGCUAAGGCGUGAAAGCGUGGGGGGCAAACAGGAUUAGAUACCCGCGUAGUC